AUUGAACGCUGGCGGCAUGCCUUACACAUGCAAGUCGAACGGUAACGGGUUAAGCCGACGAGUGGCGAACGGGUGAGUAAUAUAUCGGAACGUGCCCAGUCGUGGGGGAUAACGUAGAGAAAUUUACGCUAAUACCGCAUACGAUCCAAGGAUGAAAGCGGGGGACCUUCGGGCCUCGUGCGACUGGAGCGGCUGAUAUCAGAUUAGGUUGUUGGUGAGGUAAAAGCUCACCAAGCCGACGAUCUGUAGCUGGUUUGAGAGAACGACCAGCCACACUGGGACUGAGACACGGCCCAGACUCCUACGGGGGGCAGCAGUGGGGAAUUUUGGACAAUGGGCGAAAGCCUGAUCCAGCAAUGCCGCGUGCAGGAAGAAGGCCUUCGGGUUGUAAACUGCUUUUGUACGGAACGAAAAGGUCUGCCCUAAUACGGCGGGCUCAUGACGGUACCGUAAGAAUAAGCACCGGCUAACUACGUG
This 477-nucleotide ribosomal RNA is filed under the name uncultured bacterium. RNAcentral's name for it is "bacterial SSU rRNA". It matches the Rfam family "Bacterial small subunit ribosomal RNA", at positions 30 to 507 of the family's 1533-position model. The record is from RNAcentral.